GUCUGGGGCCAUGCCACCCGGAACAAUCCCGAUGUCUGAUCUCGGAAGCUACACAGGGUCGGGCCUGGUUAGUAUUUGGAUGGGAGCCCACCUAGGAAGACCAGGUGCUGUAGGUG
RNAcentral lists this ribosomal RNA (116 nucleotides) under Pteropus alecto (black flying fox). Lineage: Eukaryota; Metazoa; Chordata; Mammalia; Chiroptera; Pteropodidae. The record is from RNAcentral.